AUGGCCGCGUCCGUCCUCGCGCUCGCCGUGGCGCUCCUCCUCGGGGCUAGCUCCCGGGUCGACCACGGCGCGGCCGCCGCCCCCGUAUCGGAAGAGGGGCUCCAGGUCACCUACGGGAGCACGGUGAAGCUGAUGCACGAGAAGACCAAGGUGAGGCUUCACUCGCACGACGUGGCCUACGGCUCUGGCAGCGGCCAGCAGUCCGUCACCGGCUUCCCCGAAAUCGACGACUCCAAUAGCUACUGGAUUGUGAGACCUACUCUUGAUUCAUCAGCCAAACAAGGUGAUGCUGUUGAAACUGGUAGCAUCAUCAGGUUGCAACACAUGAGGACACGGAGAUGGUUACACAGCCACUUGCAUGCUUCACCAUUAUCUGGUAACCUAGAGGUUAGCUGUUUUGGUGGGGAUGGACAAUCAGAUACCGGUGACUAUUGGAGGCUAGAAAUUGAGGGAAAGGACAAGGUAUGGAAGCGAGAUCAGAAGGUAAGAUUGCGUCAUGUUGAUACGGGCGGCUAUCUGCACAGUCACAACAAGAAGUAUAACAGGCUUGGUGGUGGGCAGCAAGAGGUCUGUGGUGUUCGAGACAAGCGAGCUGAGAAUAUUUGGUCGACAGCGGAGGGCGUUUAUCUCCCAGUCGAUGAAAGCAAGUGA
RNAcentral lists this ribosomal RNA (651 nucleotides) under Triticum aestivum (bread wheat). RNAcentral's name for it is "partial small subunit ribosomal RNA". The record is from RNAcentral. Lineage: Eukaryota; Viridiplantae; Streptophyta; Magnoliopsida; Poales; Poaceae.